GACGAAGGGGGCUAGCGUUGUUCGGAAUUACUGGGCGUAAAGCGCGUGUAGGCGGUUGUCCAAGUUGGAUGUGAAAGCCUUGAGCUCAACUCAAGAAAUGCAUUCAGGAUUGGAUGACUAGAGGACCGGAGAGGAUAGUGGAAUUCCCAGUGUAGUGGUGAAAUACGUAGAGAUUGGGAAGAACACCAGUGGCGAAGGCGGCUAUCUGGACGGUUUCUGACGCUAAGACGCGAAAGCGUGGGGAGCAAACAGG
RNAcentral lists this ribosomal RNA (253 nucleotides) under uncultured bacterium. RNAcentral's name for it is "partial 16S ribosomal RNA". It matches the Rfam family "Bacterial small subunit ribosomal RNA", at positions 524 to 776 of the family's 1533-position model. The record is from RNAcentral.